This 104-nucleotide unclassified non-coding RNA is filed under the name Pseudomonas umsongensis. RNAcentral describes it as "microRNA mir-598". Lineage: Bacteria; Pseudomonadati; Pseudomonadota; Gammaproteobacteria; Pseudomonadales; Pseudomonadaceae. The record is from RNAcentral.
GGCUUUUGAUCUUGUAGGAGCUGCCGCAGGCUGCGAUCUUUUGAUCUUGUUGUUUAAAAAGCAAAGUCAAAAGAUCGCAGCCUGCGGCAGCUCCUACAGGACUA